UACGGAGGGGGCUAGCGUUGUUCGGAAUUACUGGGCGUAAAGCGCACGUAGGCGGCUUUGUAAGUUAGAGGUGAAAGCCCGGAGCUCAACUCCGGAACUGCCUUUAAGACUGCAUCGCUUGAACAUCGGAGAGGUAAGUGGAAUUCCGAGUGUAGAGGUGAAAUUCGUAGAUAUUCGGAAGAACACCAGUGGCGAAGGCGACUUACUGGACGAUUGUUGACGCUGAGGUGCGAAAGCGUGGGGAGCAAACAGG
Molecule: ribosomal RNA, 253 nt
Filed under: uncultured bacterium
Lineage: Bacteria
Description: partial 16S ribosomal RNA
Rfam family: Bacterial small subunit ribosomal RNA
Source: RNAcentral